Molecule: transfer RNA, 71 nt
Filed under: Marmota monax (woodchuck)
Lineage: Eukaryota; Metazoa; Chordata; Mammalia; Rodentia; Sciuridae
Description: tRNA.Ala
Source: RNAcentral
GAUGUUGUAGCUCAGCGGUAGAGUGCCCGCGUAGCACAUGCGAGGUGCUGGGUUUAAUCCUCAGCACCACA